RNAcentral lists this ribosomal RNA (472 nucleotides) under uncultured bacterium. RNAcentral's name for it is "partial 16S ribosomal RNA". It matches the Rfam family "Bacterial small subunit ribosomal RNA", at positions 28 to 507 of the family's 1533-position model. The record is from RNAcentral.
GACGAACGCUGGCGGCGUGCUUAACACAUGCAAGUCGAACGCUGAAGCUUGGUGCUUGCACUGGGUGGAUGAGUGGCGAACGGGUGAGUAAUACGUGAGUAACCUGCCCUUGACUCUGGGAUAAGCCUGGGAAACUGGGUCUAAUACUGGAUACGACAUGCCACUGCAUGGUGGUGUGUGGAAAGGGUUUUACUGGUUUUGGAUGGGCUCACGGCCUAUCAGCUUGUUGGUGGGGUAAUGGCCUACCAAGGCGACGACGGGUAGCCGGCCUGAGAGGGUGACCGGCCACACUGGGACUGAGACACGGCCCAGACUGCUACGGGAGGAAGCAGUGGGGAAUAUUGCAAAAUGGGCGGAAGCCUGAUGCAGCGACGCCGCGUGAGGGAGGACGGCCUUCGGGUUGUAAACCUCUUUCAGCACGGAAGAAGCGAGAGUGACGGUACGUGCAGAAGAAGCGCCGGCUAACUACGUG